RNAcentral lists this ribosomal RNA (447 nucleotides) under uncultured bacterium. RNAcentral's name for it is "SSU rRNA". It matches the Rfam family "Bacterial small subunit ribosomal RNA", at positions 26 to 518 of the family's 1533-position model. The record is from RNAcentral.
AGAACGAACGCUGGCGGCAUGCCUAACACAUGCAAGUCGAGCGGCCGUAGCAAUACGGCAGCGGCAGACGGGAGAGUAACACGUGGGAACGCGCCCUUCGGUUCGGAAUAACUCAGGGAAACUUGGGCUAAUACCGGAUACGCCCUUACGGGGAAAGAUUUAUUGCCGAAGGAACGGCCCGCGUCCGAUUAGCUUGUUGGUGAGGUAACGGCUCACCAAGGCGACGAUCGGUAGCUGGUCUGAGAGGAUGACCAGCCUCACUGGGACUGAGACACGGCCCAGACUCCUACGGGAGGCAGCAGUGGGGAAUAUUGGACAAUGGGCGCAAGCCUGAUCCAGCCAUGCCGCGUGGGUGAUGAAGGCCCUAGGGUUGUAAAGCCCUUUCGGCGGGAAGAUAAUGACGGUACCCGCAGAAGAAGCCCCGGCUAACUUCGCGCCAGCAGCCGC